UACCCGCAGCACAAGUGGUGGUCAUUAUUAUUGGGCCUAAAGCGUCCGUAGCUGGCGUGUUAGAUGCCUGGGUAAAUCGAUGCGCUCAACGUAUCGAAUUCCGGGUAGACCGACACGCUCGAGACCGGGAGAGGUGUAGGGUACUCGGGGGGUAGGGGUAAAAUCCUGUAAUCCUCCGGGGACGACCAGUGGCGAAGGCGCUACACUAGAACGGCUCUGACAGUGAGGGACGAAGCCCUGGGGCGCAAACCGG
This 253-nucleotide ribosomal RNA is filed under the name uncultured bacterium. RNAcentral's name for it is "partial 16S ribosomal RNA". It matches the Rfam family "Archaeal small subunit ribosomal RNA", at positions 474 to 727 of the family's 1478-position model. The record is from RNAcentral.